RNAcentral lists this ribosomal RNA (500 nucleotides) under uncultured bacterium. Its description in RNAcentral is "partial 16S ribosomal RNA". It matches the Rfam family "Bacterial small subunit ribosomal RNA", at positions 28 to 523 of the family's 1533-position model. The record is from RNAcentral.
GUUGAACGCUGGCGGCAUGCCUUACACAUGCAAGUCGAACGGCAGCACGGAGCUUGCUCUGGUGGCGAGUGGCGAACGGGUGAGUAAUAUAUCGGAACGUACCCAAGAGUGGGGGAUAACGUAGCGAAAGUUACGCUAAUACCGCAUACGAUCUGAGGAUGAAAGCAGGGGACCUUCGGGCCUUGUGCUCCUGGAGCGGCCGAUAUCUGAUUAGCUAGUUGGUGAGGUAAAGGCUCACCAGGGCAUCGAUCAGUAGCUGGUCUGAGAGGACGACCAGCCACACUGGAACUGAGACACGGUCCAGACUCCUACGGGAGGCAGCCGUGGGGAAUUUUGGACAAUGGGGGCAACCCUGAUCCAGCAAUGCCGCGUGAGUGAAGAAGGCCUUCGGGUUGUAAAGGACUUUUGUCAGGGAGGAAAUCCUUAGCGUUAAUACCGCUGAGGGAUGACAGUACCUGAAGAAUAAGCACCGGCUAACUACGUGCCAGCCGCCGCAGUAA